GAUGAACGCUGACAGAAUGCUUAACACAUGCAAGUCUUUGGCGAAGCUGUGCUCGCACAGCCUAACCACGGCGGACGGGUGAGUAACGCGUAAGGAACUUGCCCUGCAGUCAGGUAUAACAGACGGAAACGACUGAUAAGACCUGGUAAAGUCAGGCGGACUCAUGUCCAGCCUGAUGAAAAGAGAUGCUGCAGGAGAGCCUUGCGUCCUAUUAGCUUGUUGGUGGGGUAACGGCCCACCAAGGCGAUGAUAGGUAGCCGGCCUGAGAGGGUGGACGGCCACAAGGGGACUGAGAUACGGCCCUUACUCCUACGGGAGGCAGCAGUGGGGAAUAUUGGACAAUGGGGGCAACCCUGAUCAAGCAAUUCUGUGUGCACGAUGAAGGUUUUCGGAUUGUAAAGUGCUUUCAGCAGGGAAGAAAAAAAUGACGGUACCUGCAGAAGAAGCGACGGCUAAAUACGUG
RNAcentral lists this ribosomal RNA (463 nucleotides) under uncultured bacterium. RNAcentral's name for it is "partial 16S ribosomal RNA". It matches the Rfam family "Bacterial small subunit ribosomal RNA", at positions 28 to 507 of the family's 1533-position model. The record is from RNAcentral.